GUGUUGAAUGAUGAUUUUUAUUUGUUUGCCUGACUUCCUUUUGGAUAAUGAGGGCAUCUUUAGUCACUACCUCUUCUGAGACAC
Molecule: small nucleolar RNA, 84 nt
Organism: Loxodonta africana (African savanna elephant)
Lineage: Eukaryota; Metazoa; Chordata; Mammalia; Proboscidea; Elephantidae
Rfam family: Small nucleolar RNA SNORD11
Source: Rfam